Molecule: long non-coding RNA, 1673 nt
Organism: Mastomys coucha (southern multimammate mouse)
Lineage: Eukaryota; Metazoa; Chordata; Mammalia; Rodentia; Muridae
Exons: 7
Source: RefSeq, a predicted model, not a curated record
UUCAGAUGAAGAUGUAGAACUCUCAGCUCCUCCCGCACUAUGCCUGUCUGGAUGCUGCCAUGCUCUUGCCUUGAUGGUAAUGGAUACAAUUGUCCUUUUCUGUCUGUGAUUCCUGGCUACCAUGAGGAUGGAACACCAUAGUCUGAGCUGCUUCUCUUGCUAUGCCCUCCCCACCAGGAUGGACUGGAAACUUUGCAGAAAGAUGGAACUUGGGUCUUGUAUUCUAGAAAAAGACUCUACCAUUGAUCUAUAUCCCAGGAUCAUAGAGCUCAAGUUUCUUGUCUCUGCAUGCUGAGUGCUGGUGGUCAUCACAUGUGUCACCAUACCAUGUUUAAGACUACCCCUGCUUCAGUGCUGCAAACUCAGAGGUGUGCUGUGGAAAACACGACAACUGAUAUAUCAAACUUAGGCCAAGAAGCUAUAUAUAGCUAUGUACAUAAAGGUCAAGAAAGGACACUGGUUCUGGAUUCCAUGGGAAAAAAGUCACUUGACAACAAGAAGGCAAGCAUAUGACAUCAUUCCAUUUGCACAAAGUUCAAAACCAGGCAAAACUCGCCUCUAUGUUGAUGCAAGGAAGGAUGGUGUUCGUUUUCUUGCAAGCAGGGAGUGACCAGUGACCAAAAGGCAGGAGAGCUCCCAGAGUACUCCUGGUUUUACAGGUGUUGGCUUUUGACUAUUCUCUAGUUGGAGAAUUUGGUCUCCUGCCAAGUGAGCCUCCCGUGAAAGACAAUGAGUCAUGUGUCAAGUCACUGCCUGAAUGAGCCUUGGGGAAGAAGUUGUAUCUAGAGGUGUUAAGUAGUGAAGAAGCCAUGGGUCUCCUGCAAGUCAAGGAAAGAGCUAUGAGGUGCUGUUGUGUCUUCAAACCCCAUUACAAGAACAUCAAACACUGAACGAUCUAAGUCAUAAAACUGACAAGAUGAGUGGAUGAGUACUACCAGCCGGGGUGCAUCACAAACACUCUUACUCCAUACAGAUUCACCAUGAAAGUCUUUAGUUCGGUGGUUAUUAAUUUCAGAGAUUUCUUAAACACCCUUUUCUCAAAAUAUUGUAUUCACACAUUUUUGCUUAAUAGUUUUACAGGUUUCACUGAGCUGCUAAACAGCCUGUAGGUAUGAUGCAAUGUAAACAAUUAAAAGAUGCAACUAUUUCACCUACCAGCUUACAACUUAAAGGAAAGAAGAGCAUGCCAAACAAGAGUGUGUCAUAAUGGAAGGCAUACAGUGAAAUGGCAAAACGUAUAUGCAAGCUGAUUACAUAGAUGUGUCAAGGAGAUACACAUUAACUGAACUUGCUUGAGUUACUUUAGAAGUUCCUUUCCUUAUAUGCUUAUAAGUGAGCGCCCUGGGGAAUGCAUAUAUGAUUGCCAUCUAAGUCAACUGAGGCUUCUGCAGAACUGCUGCUGUGUUGGACAGAGCAAGCAUCAAAUGUUUGUGACAAGAUUGAGGUUGGUGGGGAUGCCACUGCAAAGCCUUUUAAAGGAGUCUCCAUUAAAGUUUGGAAAGAGAUUUAACAGUUGGAAAGACACAACAUUAAUAUGACAGGAACCACAACCAAUAGAAAAGGACCAGUAGUAAACAUGGUGACUCUUUGGAAUUGAGUGUUUUUGGCAUUUAUUGAAACUUUAGGAGCACAUAGGAGCAUGCAAACACAUAGGUAAUAAAUCUACUUGAAAG